Molecule: ribosomal RNA, 1461 nt
Filed under: Haemobartonella muris
Lineage: Bacteria; Bacillati; Mycoplasmatota; Mollicutes; Mycoplasmatales; Mycoplasmataceae
Description: Mycoplasma haemomuris 16S ribosomal RNA
Rfam family: Bacterial small subunit ribosomal RNA
Source: RNAcentral
AGUUUGAUCCUGGCUCAGAAUUAACGCUGAUGGCAUACCUAAUACAUGCAAGUCGAGCGGACCUCUAGCAAUAGAGGUUAGCGGCGAACGGGUGAGUAAUGAAUACUUAACAUACCUCCAUGAAGGAAAUAGCUAUUCGAAAGAGUAAUUAAUGUCCUAUAGGAGCCUUCCUCACAUGAGGUUGGCUUUAAAGGCGCAAGCCACUUGGAGAUUGGAGUAUUUUCUAUUAGCUAGUUGGCGGGAUAAUAGCCCACCAAGGCAGUGAUAGAUAGCUGGUCUAAGAGGAUGAACAGCCACAAUGGGAUUGAGAUACGGCCCAUAUUCCUACGGGAAGCAGCAGUAGGGAAUCUUCCACAAUGGGCGAAAGCCUGAUGGAGUGAUGCCAUGUGAACGAUGAAGGUCUUUUUGAUUGUAAAGUUCUUUUAUUGGGGAAAAUGAUGAUGGUACCCAGUGAAUAAGUGACAGCAAACUAUGUGCCAGCAGCUGCGGUAAUACAUAGGUCGCGAGCGUUAUUCGGAUUUAUUGGGCGUAAAGCGAGCGCAGGCGGAUUGGUAAGUUCUGUGUUAAAUGCAGCCGCUCAACGGUUGUAUGCGCAGAAUACUGCCUUUCUAGAAUACGGUAGAAAGUUUUGGAAUUGAAUGUGGAGCGGUGGAAUGUGUAGAUAUAUUCAAGAACACCAGAGGCGAAGGCGAAAACUUAGGCCGAUAUUGACGCUUAGGCUCGAAAGUGUGGGGAGCAAAUGGGAUUAGAUACCCCAGUAGUCCACACCGUAAACGAUGGAUAUUAGAUGUUGGGACUUGAGUCUCAGCGUUGUAGCUUACGUGUUAAAUAUCCCGCCUGAGUAGUACAUAUGCAAAUAUGAAACUCAAAGGAAUUGACGGGGACCUGAACAAGUGGUGGAACAUGUUGCUUAAUUCGACAAUACACGAAAAACCUUACCAAGAUUUGACAUCCCCUGCGAAGCUUUAGAAAUAAAGUGGAGGUUAUCAGGGUGACAGGUGGUGCAUGGCUGUCGUCAGCUCGUGUCAUGAGAUGUCUGGUUAAGUCCUGAAACGAGCGCAACCCUACUCUUUAGUUAACUUUCUAAAGAGACUGAACAGUAAUGUAUAGGAAGGAUGGGAUCACGUCAAGUCAUCAUGCCCCUUAUAUCUUGGGCCGCAAACGUGUUACAAUGGUGGGUACAACGUGUCGCAAGCCAGCGAUGGCAAGCCAAUCACUAAAAGCCCAUCCCAGUCCGGAUAAAAGGCUGCAAUUCGCCUUUUUGAAGUUGGAAUCACUAGUAAUCCCGUGUCAGCCAUAUCGGGGUGAAUACGUUCCCAGGUCUUGUACACACCGCCCGUCAAACUAUGAGAGGGAGAGGCAUUCGAAAACGCAUUCAUUUGCGUCUAGAAUGAAUUUCCUGAUUGGAGUUAAGUCGUAACAAGGUACCCGUACGAGAACGUGCGGGUGGAUAAUCUUUCU